This is a long non-coding RNA of Brassica rapa (field mustard), 2003 nucleotides long. RefSeq lists it as uncharacterized. NCBI's taxonomy places the organism in Eukaryota, Viridiplantae, Streptophyta, Magnoliopsida, Brassicales, Brassicaceae. The record is from RefSeq and is a predicted model, not a curated record.
AUCCAACAUUUUUGAAAUUGGAAUAAAAAUUUCAACAAAUUUAACUUUCAUGUAUACUUAUACGUCUAGAAAGAUUGGUUUUAUUGGUGAGAAUUUAAACUCUUAGCCACUAAUUAUACAAUACGAACCAGAAAAAUAGAAUGAACAAAUGAGUUAGGAAAUCAAAAUUUUAAAUGAUUGGAGUAUUAACCUAUUUUACUGUAAAAAUAUUUUAAAUAAUGUAAUAUGUAUUUUUAUCAUUAUUUAUAUUUUGUGUUCUAAUAAAUUAAAAUUCAGUUUAGUAAUUUAUGUUGCCAGAGUUUCGGAUAUACAUAUUACAUAUUUAAAUAGUAAAACAUAAUAUUUUAAAAUAAAUUAAGGAUUUAUGGAAAUAAAUUCGGGUGUAGUCCGGGAAAAGCUGUAGUUGUAAUAAAGAGAGGAGAAAUACACUAACACGCUAUUUGAUUCUAAAAAAAAAAUUGUCUGAUUGACUUUUGUUAACUAAAAAAAUAGCAAUUUGUCUGGAUUAUUUCAUAUUGUGUAUGUUGCAUAUGAAAACAAGAAACAAAUCCCCAGAUUAUAAUAGGAGAUCAUUAAGUUAUUUGGUAAACUCGACAAUUCUUUCUUUAAACAAAACUCGACAAUUCUUUCUAUGAAAAAUAUGUGGUUUAGGAAGAAGUUAGUGGAGCCACAAUUUGUUUAUUUUAUAUUAAGUACUAGGAUUAAAAUAAGUACGUGUUGGUAAAUUUGUUUAAUUUUUAAAAAAUCUAUUCUAUUAAAACAGUAGUGUGACCCAUUGAUAAAAGUAGAGUCCAACCAUUUAUUUUCCUUUAUUUAAGGAUCCUCUAAUUAAGUAAUUUGCUUAGUGGACACAUAUUAUGUAACGCCAAUUUCCAUAACCGUUUCUUUUUAGUUAAUCUUAACCGUUUGAUAUUAAUGCCAAUGGAAAAUAUCAAAUGCAGUUAUGUCCUUUUUACGGUAAUUUAUUAUUUGGACAGUUGGACCACGAAAAAUUAAAUCAUACAUGUAACUACAUUAAAUUGGUGACUAAUUAAAUCAUACAUAAUUACAUUAAUCUGGUUAGUACACGUAAGAUAGUUCACAUUAUAUUGAUGUUUCUUUGCAUACAAAUAAUUUCUGGUCUAAAUCGGUCCAGACCAUGCCUAUUCACAUGUAACUCCAGUUGUAUAAUAAUGUGUACACAUCUCAAUAAAUGUAGAAAAUAUGACAUACCAUAGACUUACAAUAUAACUUUAUCCAACAAACAUUGGUUGAAUUUGGUAACAAUAUGACUUCAGAUUUUCAAACCAAAAGUGAUACCAAGAUGAAGGAACACAAAUAUAUGUGAUUGUGGUAAUCAAACGAGAUCACCGAAUUCGAAUUAUAUACGUGUUUGUUAUUUUAUACAAAAGAUAUAUACAAACAUGAAUCAGUUUAUCAUAUUUUUAUUCAAAUAUAAUAUUAGAUAAGAUGUUUUCUUUUCAAAUCUGAUAUUUUUUUUCGUUUGAUUUUGGUGGACAUAUACUCAAAUAUUAAUGGCCUUAGAUCUUAAAAUUAUAUAGUUCCUAACGUAUUUAUGAUUUAAAUGGAAUGAAUUCUAAACAUGAACCCCUUAUAAAUAGAACAAAUUAAUUUAUGUAACGAAGUAUUUAAUUUUUUUUAAUUAAAUUUAGAUAUAACCCUAUGUUUUUCUAUAAAUAUACACUACCCACUACAUUACGAUAACCAUACAUUAUAUAAUUGUAUAUAAAUAUUUUUUAAUAUAUAAGAAAAAAUUACAGAAAAAUAUUACAUAUUUAUAGAAACAUAAAAAACAUAAAAAAUUACAAACCAAUAUUAUAUCCGCGGGUCAAGAUCUAAAACAAAUAAAUAUGAUUACAAAAAAACGGGUAUACGUACAUAUGAUUACAAAGAACUGAGCGUAUGCCGAAUCAAAUUUUAAAUUGCUAUUAUUUUAUAAAAUAAAUUUUGAUUAAGAUUUAUAUAUAAAUAUAAUUAUAAAAAAAUACAAAUAUGAUUACAUA